GACAGAGGCCUCAAGCGUUAGGCGGAAUCACUGGGCUUAAAGCGUGUGUAGGCGGACGCCUAAGUACCUUGUGAAAUCCCACGGCUCACCCGUGGAACUGCUGGGUAUACUGGGGUGUCUUGGGUCAUUCAGGGGCAACUGGAACAAGCGGUGGAGCGGUGAAAUGCGUAGAUAUCGCUUGGAACGCCGAAGGUGAAAACAGGUUGCUGGGGAUGCGCCGACGCUGAGACACGAAAGCCAGGGGAGCAAACGGG
RNAcentral lists this ribosomal RNA (254 nucleotides) under uncultured bacterium. RNAcentral's name for it is "partial 16S ribosomal RNA". It matches the Rfam family "Bacterial small subunit ribosomal RNA", at positions 524 to 776 of the family's 1533-position model. The record is from RNAcentral.